UGGGGAAUAUUGCACAAUGGGGGAAACCCUGAUGCAGCGACGCCGCGUGAGCGAUGAAGGCUUUCGAGUCGUAAAGCUCUGUCCUAUGGGAAGAUAAUGACGGUACCAUAGAAGAAAGCCCCGGCUAAUUACGUGCCAGCAGCCGCGGUAAUACGUAAGGGGCGAGCGUUGUCCGGAAUUAUUGGGCGUAAAGAGUGCGUAGGCGGCAAAUUAAGUCAGAUGUGAAAACUAAGGGCUCAACCCAUAGAUUGCAUCUGAAACUGAUAUGCUUGAGUCAAGGAGAGGAAAGUGGAAUUCCUAGUGUAGCGGUGGAAUGCGUAGAUAUUAGGAGGAAUACCGGUGGAGAAGGCGACUUUCUGGACUUGAACUGACGAUGAGGCACGAAAGCGUGGGGAGCAAACAGG
This 404-nucleotide ribosomal RNA is filed under the name Verrucomicrobiota bacterium. RNAcentral describes it as "Verrucomicrobia bacterium partial 16S ribosomal RNA". It matches the Rfam family "Bacterial small subunit ribosomal RNA", at positions 355 to 776 of the family's 1533-position model. The record is from RNAcentral. Lineage: Bacteria; Pseudomonadati; Verrucomicrobiota.